Molecule: ribosomal RNA, 321 nt
Filed under: uncultured eukaryote
Lineage: Eukaryota
Description: partial 18S ribosomal RNA
Rfam family: Eukaryotic small subunit ribosomal RNA
Source: RNAcentral
CCCUUAGACGUUCUGGGCCGCACGCGCGCUACACUGACUAGUCCAACGAGUGUUUGUACCUUAGCUGAUAGGCUUGGGCAAUCUCUGAACGCUAGUCGUGAUAGGGAUCGAUUUUUGGAAUUAUUAAUCGUCAACGAGGAAUUCCUAGUAAACGCGAGUCAUCAGCUCGCAUUGAUUACGUCCCUGCCCUUUGUACACACCGCCCGUCGCACCUACCGAUUGAAUGGUCCGGUGAAGCCUCCGGAUUGGACGUGUUGGCCCUGCCAGGCGGCCGAGAAGUUGGCUAAAUCUUACCAUUUAGAGGAAGGUGAANUCGUANCA